AACGUCUCAGUUCGGACUGUGGUCUGCAACCCGACCACACGAAGCUGGAAUCGCUGGUAAUCGCGAAUCAGAAUGUCGCGGUGAAUACGUUCCCGGGUCUUGUACACACCGCCCGUCACACCAUGGGAGUCAGCAACGCCCGAAGUCAGUGACCUAACCGAAAGGGAGGAGCUGCCGAAGGCGGGGCCGGUAACUGGGGUGAAGUCGUAACAAGGUACC
Molecule: ribosomal RNA, 219 nt
Filed under: uncultured bacterium
Lineage: Bacteria
Description: partial 16S ribosomal RNA
Rfam family: Bacterial small subunit ribosomal RNA
Source: RNAcentral